RNAcentral lists this long non-coding RNA (241 nucleotides) under Brassica rapa (field mustard). RNAcentral describes it as "long non-coding RNA (BRAP_LNC002251)". The record is from RNAcentral. Lineage: Eukaryota; Viridiplantae; Streptophyta; Magnoliopsida; Brassicales; Brassicaceae.
AAAAAAAAACUAAUUAAAUUUCUUUUGGAAAAAAAACUGUUUUACGUUCCAAUAUUAGAGUUUUAUAUUAACAAUUACCUAAGUUUUGCUACCUACGGUCAUGAAAUCGCUAAUAACGUAAAUAUCCGAUUAAAUCGUACAAAAAUAAAAUAUGGAAAUACAGACACAAUUCAAUUUGUUAAACUUUUAUCUGUAAAUAAAAAGUUAUUCACUAAUAAAUAUUAACCUCUAAACAUUCCGC